This 99-nucleotide small nucleolar RNA is filed under the name Triticum aestivum (bread wheat). RNAcentral describes it as "Plant small nucleolar RNA U3". It matches the Rfam family "Plant small nucleolar RNA U3", at positions 1 to 99 of the family's 221-position model. From Rfam's summary of the family: Small nucleolar RNAs (snoRNAs) are involved in the processing and modification of rRNA in the nucleolus. There are two main classes of snoRNAs: the box C/D class, and the box H/ACA class. RNAcentral also lists the same sequence under 1 other name. Lineage: Eukaryota; Viridiplantae; Streptophyta; Magnoliopsida; Poales; Poaceae. The record is from Rfam by way of RNAcentral.
ACGACCUUACUUGAACAGGAUCUGUUCUAUAGGCUCGUACCGCUGCAUCCUUUACCAAUAAGGAGGCAAGCACUUCAGUCUGGUUGAUGAAUUCUGACC